AUUGAACGCUGGCGGCAGGCCUAACACAUGCAAGUCGAACGGUAACAGGAAGCAGCUUGCUGCUUUGCUGACGAGUGGCGGACGGGUGAGUAAUGUCUGGGAAACUGCCUGAUGGAGGGGGAUAACUACUGGAAACGGUAGCUAAUACCGCAUAACGUCGCAAGACCAAAGAGGGGGACCUUAGGGCCUCUUGCCAUCGGAUGUGCCCAGAUGGGAUUAGCUAGUAGGUGGGGUAACGGCUCACCUAGGCGACGAUCCCUAGCUGGUCUGAGAGGAUGACCAGCCACACUGGAACUGAGACACGGUCCAGACUCCUACGGGAGGCAGCAGUGGGGAAUAUUGCACAAUGGGCGCAAGCCUGAUGCAGCCAUGCCGCGUGUAUGAAGAAGGCCUUCGGGUUGUAAAGUACUUUCAGCGGGGAGGAAGGGAGUAAAGUUAAUACCUUUGCUCACUGACGUUACCCGCAGAAGAAGCACCGGCUAACUCCGUG
RNAcentral lists this ribosomal RNA (490 nucleotides) under uncultured bacterium. RNAcentral's name for it is "partial 16S ribosomal RNA". It matches the Rfam family "Bacterial small subunit ribosomal RNA", at positions 30 to 507 of the family's 1533-position model. The record is from RNAcentral.